Molecule: transfer RNA, 37 nt
Filed under: Phrynocephalus guttatus kalmykus
Lineage: Eukaryota; Metazoa; Chordata; Lepidosauria; Squamata; Agamidae
Description: partial tRNA-Tyr
Source: RNAcentral
GUAAUUCCACUUAUGGGGUGGUAAACUCCUCUUAUCA